CCCUUAGAUGUUCGGGGCUGCACAUGCGCUACACUGAAGGAAUCAACGUGUAUUUGCCCUUGCCCGAAAGGGUUGGGUAACCCGUUGAACCUCCUUCGUGCUAGGGGUUGGGGCUUGUAAUUAUUCCCCAUGAACGAGGAAUUCCCAGUAAGCGCGAGUCAUAAGCUCGCGUUGAUUACGUCCCUGCCCUUUGUACACACCGCCCGUCGCUACUACCGAUUGAAUGGUUUAGUGAGAUCCUCGGAUUGGUCCCGCCACGGGAGGAAACUUUCGAGGCGGAGUGCCGAGAAGACGAUCAAACUUGAUCAUUUAGAGGAAGUAAAAGUCGUAACA
Molecule: ribosomal RNA, 333 nt
Filed under: uncultured eukaryote
Lineage: Eukaryota
Description: partial 18S ribosomal RNA
Rfam family: Eukaryotic small subunit ribosomal RNA
Source: RNAcentral